CGCCCCACGGCCCGGUGGGGAGCGCGUGUCUGGGUCACAUGAGCCGCCCGCCCGCCAGCCCGGGCCCGGCCCCCCGCCGCCCCCGCCGUCCCCGCCGCUGCUGCCCGCCGCCACCGGCCGCCCGCCCGCCCGGCUCCUCUGGCCGCCUCCGCUGCGCUGCGCUGCGCUGCCUGCACCCAGGGCUCGGGAGGGGGCCGCGGAGGAGCCGCCCCCCGCGCCCGGCCCCCGCCCGCCGCGCCCGGGCCCGGGCCCGCGCCAUGGGGCUCUGGCUGCCGCCGCCCCCCGCGCCGCCGGGCUAGGGCGAUGCGGGCGCCCCCGGCGGGCGGCCCCCGCGGGCACCAUGAGCCCUCUGCUCCGCCGCCUGCUGCUCGCCGCGCUCCUGCAGCUGGCCCCCGCCCAGGCCCCUGUCUCCCAGCCUGAUGCCCCUGGCCACCAGAAGAAAGUGGUGUCAUGGAUAGAUGUGUAUACUCGCGCUACCUGCCAGCCCCGGGAGGUGGUGGUGCCCCUGACUGUGGAGCUUAUGGGGACCGUGGCCAAACAGCUGGUGCCCAGCUGCGUGACUGUGCAGCGCUGUGGUGGCUGCUGCCCUGACGAUGGCCUGGAGUGUGUGCCCACUGGGCAGCACCAAGUCCGGAUGCAGAUCCUCAUGAUCCGGUACCCGAGCAGUCAGCUGGGGGAGAUGUCCCUGGAAGAACACAGCCAGUGUGAAUGCAGACCUAAAAAAAAGGACAGUGCUGUGAAGCCAGACAGCCCCAGGCCCCUCUGCCCACGCUGCACCCAGCGCCACCAGGGCCCUGACCCCCGGACCUGCCGCUGCCGCUGCCGACGCCGCAGCUUCCUCCGUUGCCAAGGGCGGGGCUUAGAGCUCAACCCAGACACCUGCAGCUGCUGGCACCUGGAGCUGUGUAAGCAAGUCCAACAUUCUAACUCAGGAGUCAGAUACAGGAGGGACGAUGCCAGCAGAGGAUGUCAAGGGCUGUGGUGAGGGGCACCUGGCCUCGUCUUUCAGAGGUCAGAGAUCUCUUGGAGGAGGUGACAUCUGCCUGGAAUAGAAAUGUGGGACACAGCUUUUCCAGCUUGCAGUUCGGGCCUUCCCAGAAGCCCCUGUGGUGCCGGAAGCUGCGAAGGUGACACAUGGCUUUUCAGACUCAGCAGGGUGACUUGCCUCAGAGGCUAUAUCCCAGUGGGGGAACAAAGAGGAGCCUGGUAAAAAACAGCCAAGCCCCCAAGACCUCAGCCCAGGCAGAAGCUGCUCCAGGACUUGGGCCUCUCAGAGGGCUCUUCUGCCAUCCCUUGUCUCCCUGAGACAGUCAUCAAACAGGACAGAGUUGGAAGAGGAGACUGGGAGGCAGCAAAAGGGGUCAUAUACCAGCUCAGGGGAGAAUGGGGUACUGUCUCAGUUUCUAACCACCCUGUGCAAGUAAGCAUCUUACAACUGGCUCUUCCUCCCCUCAAUAAGAAGACCCAAACCUCUGCAUAAUGGGAUUUGGGCUUUGGUACAAGAACUGUGACCCCCAACCCUGAUAAAAGAGAUGGAAGGA
This is an RNA transcript of Symphalangus syndactylus (siamang), 1541 nucleotides long. It is a transcript of the gene named vascular endothelial growth factor B, with no coding region annotated. NCBI's taxonomy places the organism in Eukaryota, Metazoa, Chordata, Mammalia, Primates, Hylobatidae. The record is from RefSeq and is a predicted model, not a curated record.